Molecule: ribosomal RNA, 459 nt
Filed under: uncultured bacterium
Lineage: Bacteria
Description: partial 16S ribosomal RNA
Rfam family: Bacterial small subunit ribosomal RNA
Source: RNAcentral
CCUACGGGUGGCAGCAGUGAGGAAUAUUGGUCAAUGGGCGAGAGCCUGAACCAGCCAAGCCGCGUGAGGGAAGACGGCCCUAUGGGUUGUAAACCUCUUUUGUCGGGGAGCAAAACACGCGACGUGUCCCGUUCUGCGUGUAUCCGAAGAAAAAGCAUCGGCUAACUCCGUGCCAGCAGCCGCGGUAAUACGGAGGAUGCGAGCGUUAUCCGGAUUUAUUGGGUUUAAAGGGUGCGUAGGCGGGCGAUUAAGUCAGCGGUAAAAUUGCGGGGCUCAACCCCGUCGAGCCGUUGAAACUGGUAGUCUUGAGUUGGUGAGAAGUAUGCGGAAUGCGUGGUGUAGCGGUGAAAUGCAUAGAUAUCGCGCAGAACUCCGAUUGCGAAGGCAGCGUACCGGCGCUAGACUGACGCUGAGGCACGAAAGCGUGGGGAUCGAACAGGAUUAGAUACCCGAGUAGUC